RNAcentral lists this ribosomal RNA (253 nucleotides) under uncultured bacterium. RNAcentral describes it as "partial 16S ribosomal RNA". It matches the Rfam family "Bacterial small subunit ribosomal RNA", at positions 524 to 776 of the family's 1533-position model. The record is from RNAcentral.
GACAGAGGGUGCAAACGUUGUUCGGAUUUACUGGGCGUAAAGCGCGUGUAGGCGGCUUGGCAAGUCGGAUGUGAAAGCCCACGGCUCAACCGUGGAAGCGCAUCCGAAACUGCUUCGCUCGAGUCUCGGAGAGGAAGGUGGAAUGCUUGGUGUAGAGGUGAAAUUCGUAGAUAUCAAGCAGAACACCUGCGGCGAAGGCGGCCUUCUGGACUAUGACUGACGCUGAGACGCGAAAGCGUGGGGAGCAAACAGG